CAAUGUGAGAGCGAUCUGGCUGCAACAUGUCACCCUAUUGACUGCCAGGAUUGAUUCAGCUGAUCUGGCUGGCUAGGCAAGUGUCCCAUUACUCCCUCACCACUCCAAGUGCAUCCCUCCCAAAGAUGUGCAUUCGGUUGAAGAGGAUGCCUAUUCCUUCAGCCAAGGGUAUACAAGUCUUCAGCCAAGGUUAUACAAGUAGCUGCAGUCCCCUGCUAGAACCUCCAAACAAGCUCUCAAAAAUAUUCAUAAAAAGAAAUAAAAAUUAAUACAAGAAUUAAAAUAAUAAAAAUGU
This 295-nucleotide small nuclear RNA is filed under the name Saimiri boliviensis boliviensis (Bolivian squirrel monkey). Its description in RNAcentral is "7SK RNA (ENSSBOG00000008942.1)". It matches the Rfam family "7SK RNA". Rfam says of the family: 7SK was discovered as an abundant small nuclear RNA in the mid-70s but a possible function has only recently been suggested. Two independent studies have found that 7SK RNA binds the CDK9/cyclin T complex (known as elongation factor P-TEFb). The record is from RNAcentral. Lineage: Eukaryota; Metazoa; Chordata; Mammalia; Primates; Cebidae.